This 75-nucleotide small RNA is filed under the name Xanthomonas melonis. Its description in RNAcentral is "sX9 sRNA". It matches the Rfam family "Xanthomonas sRNA sX9". Lineage: Bacteria; Pseudomonadati; Pseudomonadota; Gammaproteobacteria; Lysobacterales; Lysobacteraceae. The record is from RNAcentral.
GUGUACCAACCGUACACUGCGGUUCCUCCGCGCCAUCCACACCCAACUGACGACUGCUCGCGACGUUCGUCAGCC